UACAGAGGUCUCAAGCGUUGUUCGGAUUCAUUGGGCGUAAAGGGUGCGUAGGCGGCCUUCUAAGUCGAACGUGAAAUCCCCGGGCUCAACCCGGGAACUGCGUCCGAUACUGGAAGGCUUGAAUCCGGGAGAGGGAUGCGGAAUUCCAGGUGUAGCGGUGAAAUGCGUAGAUAUCUGGAGGAACACCGGUGGCGAAGGCGGCAUCCUGGACCGGCAUUGACGCUGAGGAGCGAAAGCCAGGGGAGCAAACGGG
Molecule: ribosomal RNA, 253 nt
Filed under: uncultured bacterium
Lineage: Bacteria
Description: partial 16S ribosomal RNA
Rfam family: Bacterial small subunit ribosomal RNA
Source: RNAcentral